CUACGGGCUGCUGCAGUGAGGAAUAUUGCACAAUGGGCGCAAGCCUGAUGCAGCCAUGCCGCGUGUAUGAAGAAGGCCUUCGGGUUGUAAAGUACUUUCAGCGGGGAGGAAGGGAGUAAAGUUAAUACCUUUGCUCAUUGACGUUACCCGCAGAAGAAGCACCGGCUAACUCCGUGCCAGCAGCCGCGGUAAUACGGAGGGUGCAAGCGUUAAUCGGAAUUACUGGGCGUAAAGCGCACGCAGGCGGUUUGUUAAGUCGGAUGUGAAAUCCCCGGGCUCAACCUGGGAACUGCAUCUGAUACUGGCAAGCUUGAGUCUCGUAGAGGGGGGUAGAAUUCCAGGUGUAGCGGUGAAAUGCGUAGAGAUCUGGAGGAAUACCGGUGGCGAAGGCGGCCCCCUGGACGAAGACUGACGCUCAGGUGCGAAAGCGUGGGGAGCAAACAGGAUUAGAUACCCCGGUAGUC
This 464-nucleotide ribosomal RNA is filed under the name uncultured bacterium. RNAcentral's name for it is "partial 16S ribosomal RNA". It matches the Rfam family "Bacterial small subunit ribosomal RNA", at positions 339 to 795 of the family's 1533-position model. The record is from RNAcentral.